CACGUAGGGGGCGAGCGUUGUCCGGAAUCAUUGGGCGUAAAGAGCUCGUAGGCGGCUCAGUAAGUCGGGUGUGAAACCCCCAGGCUCAACCUGGGGACGCCACUCGAUACUGCUGUGGCUAGAGUCCAGUAGAGGAGUGUGGAAUUCCCGGUGUAGCGGUGAAAUGCGCAGAUAUCGGGAGGAACACCAACGGCGAAGGCAGCACUCUGGGCUGGAACUGACGCUGAGGAGCGAAAGCGUGGGGAGCAAACAGG
This 254-nucleotide ribosomal RNA is filed under the name uncultured bacterium. RNAcentral describes it as "partial 16S ribosomal RNA". It matches the Rfam family "Bacterial small subunit ribosomal RNA", at positions 524 to 776 of the family's 1533-position model. The record is from RNAcentral.